Molecule: long non-coding RNA, 475 nt
Filed under: Bos taurus (domestic cattle)
Lineage: Eukaryota; Metazoa; Chordata; Mammalia; Artiodactyla; Bovidae
Description: long non-coding RNA NONBTAT000874
Source: RNAcentral
AAAAGUGCUUGCACAACACUUUAAUCAGUAACACUUAACCCCAGGAAGCAGGGUCAGUAGCAAAUUAGAGUGGGUAGGUGAUAAGGAGGGCCUUAAAGAUGGCAGCCAUAUGUGAAAUGGGUGCAGGGGUGGACCUGAGGAGUGGAGAGGUGGUGCUGUCUAGCUGAGAUAAUUUGACUAGUGUUGACAGCAGUGGGAUAGGCUGUGGUGUCCAGGGUUUGACAGUGGUGAUGACCUCACUGAACUGACUUCCUAGUGUGGCUUUGGCUGUUAAACUUCCUUCAUAGCUCAGUUCUUAACUCCUAUAGUCUACAAACUUCAAAUGUUCUUAAAAAUGGACACCCCCCCCCCCCAAAUUCUCUGCUUGUUAUCUGGCAUUUUUUGUUUACAGUCAAAAGUCUUGACAAACACUGCUUGUCGUUUGUGAUGCCUAGUUGGUAGCCAUCUUUGUAGUUGCAAUUCAUAUUCCUAAUAC